Molecule: non-coding RNA, 21 nt
Filed under: Caenorhabditis elegans
Lineage: Eukaryota; Metazoa; Nematoda; Chromadorea; Rhabditida; Rhabditidae
Source: RNAcentral
UGUUUCUGGUAGUUGUUAUUA